UUUCUCACAGUGGAAUGCAUGUGAAACAUAAGUGGAGGCAGCACAGUUGUCGGGACAUGGAACGUGGAAGUCAAAAGUGAAUGCACAUGCUCCAGGAACCACUCAUGAAUGCAUCCAGCUGAAAAGAAUAUAAUUUGCUCAGUAGGAGAGAGGAGACCACUCACACCCCCAGGAAUACCAGUGAAGAGAGAGGAAUUUAAAGCAGUUGUGUGGAGGAUUUAUUUUUUAUGUAAUUUUAAAUACUGGUCCCUGGGAAGUCGCAUAACGGAAGGAAACACAUGACCACAGCUUUGUUUUUAUACUUUCAAUUAAAGCCACUCUUCUACCGUCCCUGCCUCUUCAACUGGUACAUUAUUACAUACUGCAUAGAGAAUUUUGAGGUGGGUUUAGCCACC
Non-coding RNA from Pelobates cultripes (western spadefoot toad), 395 nucleotides. NCBI's taxonomy places the organism in Eukaryota, Metazoa, Chordata, Amphibia, Anura, Pelobatidae. The record is from the annotation of a GenBank genome assembly.